CUGAUGAUUCAGUAUUUUCCUUUCAUCUUCAUUCAGUUUCGGAGGAGGAAAACUAGUAGCUGCCUUCCACAAUUUUACUGUCACUUCCUUUAUGUCCAUUCUUGAAGUGACCAUUGGAAAUGUUGUGUCGAGAAGGAUUAUGAGGCUAAGGCAAAUGGAAGAAAAUGUCAAGAUCGAGUAGCUAUGUCUGUCAUAACAGAGAAGAAAAAGUGUUACAGCAAAUAGUCCACAAACUUACCAACUCUGGACAAACCCAAAUAAAUACUACAUCACUUGGUUAACUAUAAUCCAGAAAAGCAUCAUGAUUACUGAAUUACCACUCUAGUACUGACUGAAGUUUGUUGAAAACAGGAAGCAAGAUAUCUGUGAACAUGCUUUGAUCUACUAACAUUGAUGAUGAUUAUUAUGACUGCUAGAGUAAUUCUAGCC
This is a long non-coding RNA of Lontra canadensis (Northern American river otter), 429 nucleotides long. RefSeq lists it as uncharacterized. NCBI's taxonomy places the organism in Eukaryota, Metazoa, Chordata, Mammalia, Carnivora, Mustelidae. The record is from RefSeq and is a predicted model, not a curated record. The transcript has 3 exons.